This 484-nucleotide ribosomal RNA is filed under the name uncultured bacterium. RNAcentral's name for it is "partial 16S ribosomal RNA". It matches the Rfam family "Bacterial small subunit ribosomal RNA", at positions 30 to 507 of the family's 1533-position model. The record is from RNAcentral.
AUUGAACGCUGGCGGCAGGCCUAACACAUGCAAGUCGAGCGGAUGAAGGGAGCUUGCUCCUGGAUUCAGCGGCGGACGGGUGAGUAAUGCCUAGGAAUCUGCCUGGUAGUGGGGGAUAACGUCCGGAAACGGGCGCUAAUACCGCAUACGUCCUGAGGGAGAAAGUGGGGGAUCUUCGGACCUCACGCUAUCAGAUGAGCCUAGGUCGGAUUAGCUAGUUGGUGGGGUAAAGGCCUACCAAGGCGACGAUCCGUAGCUGGUCUGAGAGGAUGAUCAGUCACCCUGGAACUGAGACACGGACCAGACUCCUACGGGAGGCAGCAGUGGGGAAUAUUGGACAGUGGGCGAAAGCCUUAUCCAGCCAUGCCGCGUGUGUGAAGAAGGUCUUCGGAUUGUAAAGCACUUUAAGUUGGGAGGAAGGGCAGUAAGUUAAUACCUUGCUGUUUUGACGUUACCAACAGAAGAAGCACCGGCUAACUUCGUG